ACCUUGGGUCUGGCUGGCCGGUCCGCCUCACCGCGAGUACUGGUCCGGCUGGACCUUUCCUUCUGGGGAAUCUCGUGGCCUUCACUGGCUGUGGGGGGAACCAGGACUUUUACUGUGAAAAAAUUAGAGUGUUCAAAGCAGGCCUUUGCUCGAAUACAUUAGCAUGGAAUAAUAGAAUAGGACGUGCGGUUCUAUUUUGUUGGUUUCUAGGACCGCCGUAAUGAUUAAUAGGGAUAGUCGGGGGCGUCAGUAUUCAGCUGUCAGAGGUGAAAUUCUUGGAUUUGCUGAAGACUAACUACUGCGAAAGCAUUCGCCAAGGAUGUUUUCAUUAAUCAGGGAACGAAAGUUAGGGGAUCGAAGACGAUCAGAUACCGUCGUAGUCUUAACCAUAAACUAUGCCGACUAGGGAUCGGACGGUGUUUCUAUUAUGACCCGUUCGGCACCUUACGAGAAAUCAAAGUUUUUGGGUUCUGGGGGGAGUAUGGUCGCAAGGCUGAAACUUAAAGA
Molecule: ribosomal RNA, 507 nt
Filed under: uncultured eukaryote
Lineage: Eukaryota
Description: SSU rRNA
Rfam family: Eukaryotic small subunit ribosomal RNA
Source: RNAcentral